GUGGAUUACUUCUAUUUUUCAAGGACAGUGGAUUAGAGGCAGCCAUGUAGGGAAAGAGAUGGAGAAUCGGACUGGGACAUGACCCAGUGAGUGGCUGGUCUGAUCCAUAUCUGAAGUAAUGACCCCCUCAUUUCUCUCGGCACCUACCCCCCAGGAAGGUCCUGCUAUUGUGCCAGUGUGUUAUUGACUCGUCUAAGAAAAUCAGCAAACACAGAGUAAUUGGAGGAGCUGGAGGUUCCCCUCAAGCGCCCUCCUCCUUUGACAAGCCAAACAUAAAUAAAAGAGGAGGAAAGUGAUGAGAGGGGCCUGGAGCCACACCAGAUGAGGAAAAGCCACAAAGGCGGG
Long non-coding RNA from Cyprinus carpio carpio, 345 nucleotides. The record is from Ensembl. NCBI's taxonomy places the organism in Eukaryota, Metazoa, Chordata, Actinopteri, Cypriniformes, Cyprinidae.